Molecule: transfer RNA, 76 nt
Filed under: Rhizobacter sp.
Lineage: Bacteria; Pseudomonadati; Pseudomonadota; Betaproteobacteria; Burkholderiales; Sphaerotilaceae
Description: tRNA-Arg
Rfam family: tRNA
About the family: Transfer RNA (tRNA) molecules are approximately 80 nucleotides in length.
Source: RNAcentral
GCGUCUGUAGCUCAAUGGAUAGAGUACUGCCCUCCGAAGGCAGGGGUUGCUGGUUCGAUCCCAGCCAGACGCACCA